This 444-nucleotide ribosomal RNA is filed under the name Rhodococcus sp. R-45548. RNAcentral describes it as "bacterial SSU rRNA". It matches the Rfam family "Bacterial small subunit ribosomal RNA", at positions 10 to 457 of the family's 1533-position model. The record is from RNAcentral. Lineage: Bacteria; Bacillati; Actinomycetota; Actinomycetes; Mycobacteriales; Nocardiaceae.
AGUUUGGAACCUGGCUCAGGACGAACGCUGGCGGCGUGCUUAACACAUGCAAGUCGAGCGGUAAGGCCCUUCGGGGUACACGAGCGGCGAACGGGUGAGUAACACGUGGGUGAUCUGCCCUGCACUUCGGGAUAAGCCUGGGAAACUGGGUCUAAUACCGGAUAUGACCUUGGACUGCAUGGUUCUUGGUGGAAAGGUUUACUGGUGCAGGAUGGGCCCGCGGCCUAUCAGCUUGUUGGUGGGGUAAUGGCCUACCAAGGCGACGACGGGUAGCCGGCCUGAGAGGGCGACCGGCCACACUGGGACUGAGACACGGCCCAGACUCCUACGGGAGGCAGCAGUGGGGAAUAUUGCACAAUGGGCGAAAGCCUGAUGCAGCGACGCCGCGUGAGGGAUGACGGCCUUCGGGUUGUAAACCUCUUUCAGCAGGGACGAAGCGAGAGU